RNAcentral lists this long non-coding RNA (818 nucleotides) under Brassica napus (rape). Its description in RNAcentral is "long non-coding RNA (BNAP_LNC012859)". The record is from RNAcentral. Lineage: Eukaryota; Viridiplantae; Streptophyta; Magnoliopsida; Brassicales; Brassicaceae.
CCUCUAAUGGUGGUUUUAGGAAGAGUUCUAAACAUUUUAAGAAAAAAGAAAAUAAGAGAAAAAAUAGGAAAAACUUCUUGACUUAAAAGUUAUAAAAAAACUGUUAGUCUACUCAAAAUGUUAAAAAAAAAAGAGUCUAUUCAAAGAACACGUCAUUCUACUAAAGAGAAUAAUAAUUUUAACUACUUUUAUGAAAAUAAAACUUAAAUGAAUAAUUAUAAUAUUAGUACUUUUUUCUUUUGAAAACUUCUAUAGUCUCUAACUGAUGAGGUGCUCUAAAAGGACUCUGUACUCUACAAAGGUACUUAAACAUAGCAAAAUAAUGAGUUAUAAUAAUCAACAUGGUGAAUUUAGAGGAAAAAUACUAAGGAACUUUCUCCCUUAAACUGUUUAUCUCUGGCCUGGAUCUUCCUUUACCGCCGUAAGGAAUGUAGGAGCACACAGAUUCCUCGGACCUGCGAGACAGCGAAUCGUUUACAGGAUUCAGCACUAGGGUUUUGGAGACAGUUCCUCUUCUGAGACCGGCGUUUGGGGCUGUGGGUCACCUCUGUGGAUGGCUUCUUUGACGACAAUCGGAGGCGGACCUUGAGCUGGCUUGGACACCCCUGCCAUGUGAAGUUACCGGAAGUCGUACUAGAUAGCCAAGUUUUUUACCCAAAGGAGGAGACAGUGAUUACCCGAAGUACACCGACAUCUUUCCCUCAACCUUCUCCUUACUGCUUAGAUCUGUAAUUCUUGACUUGUUGUUUAGCUUGUAAUCUAGGGCUUCCAUUUUUCCUGCCGAGAUCUUGUACUCUGUUUCGAAUGUCAUGUUUUAG